CAGUGCAACAGUAUUGUCAUAGCAG
RNAcentral lists this microRNA (25 nucleotides) under Gadus morhua (Atlantic cod). RNAcentral describes it as "Gmo-Mir-130-P2a1_3p (mature (guide))". The record is from RNAcentral. Lineage: Eukaryota; Metazoa; Chordata; Actinopteri; Gadiformes; Gadidae.